GUGAGGAAUAUUGGUCAAUGGGCGAGAGCCUGAACCAGCCAAGUCGCGUGAAGGAUGAAGGUUUUAUGAAUUGUAAACUUCUUUUGCAGGGGAAUAAAGUACGGUACGUGUACCGUUUUGUAUGUACUCUGCGAAUAAGGAUCGGCUAACUCCGUGCCAGCAGCCGCGGUAAUACGGAGGAUCCAAGCGUUAUCCGGAUUUAUUGGGUUUAACGGGUGCGCAGGCGGGUUGAUAAGUCAGCGGUGAAAGUUUGCAGCUUAACUGUAAAAUUGCCGUUGAAACUGUCGAUCUUGAGUGCAAAUGAGGUAGGCGGAAUGCGUGGUGUAGCGGUGAAAUGCAUAGAUAUCACGCAGAACUCCGAUUGCGAAGGCAGCUUACUAAGCUACAACUGACACUGAAGCACGAAAGCGUGGGGAUCAAACAGGAUUAGAUACCCUGGUAGUCC
Molecule: ribosomal RNA, 445 nt
Filed under: uncultured bacterium
Lineage: Bacteria
Description: partial 16S ribosomal RNA
Rfam family: Bacterial small subunit ribosomal RNA
Source: RNAcentral